RNAcentral lists this long non-coding RNA (564 nucleotides) under Nicotiana benthamiana. RNAcentral describes it as "long non-coding RNA (NBEN_LNC036864)". Lineage: Eukaryota; Viridiplantae; Streptophyta; Magnoliopsida; Solanales; Solanaceae. The record is from RNAcentral.
ACCUUUUGCUUAAGAGAUUCUGCGAGUUCAAUCAUGGGUAGAGCUUUACUUUUUGUCAACUGUAGUUUUUUAAGUAUUGUUCUGAUCGAAUCAUCCAUCAAUUGCGAGUAACAUCCAAUGUUCUCAGCAAGAAUCUUGUUUCUCAAUUGGAAUCCAUCCACAGUUUUCCCGAGGUGCAAUGUGAUGUCACCAUCAAUUGCAUUUGCUUCACCAUUGGCUACUUCCUCGAUUAGACCAUCAUUAACAACAGAUACUGAAGGAGUUGAGAAAGAUGUGUCAUCCUACAAAAACAACAUAGCAGUAAUUGCGAGUAACGUCCAAUAUUCUCAGCAAGAAUCUUGUUUCUCAAUUGGAAUCCAUCCACAGUUUUCCCGAGAUGCAAUGUGAUGUCACCAUCAAUUGCAUUUGCUUCACCAUUGGCUACUUCCUCGAUUAGACCAUCAUUAACAACAGAUACUGAAGGAGUUGAGAAAGAUGUGUCAUCCUACAAAAACAACAUAGCAGAUAGGUAAGAGAAGUUACGUCUAGAAUAUGUAGACCACCUGAUCAUAUUUCAAAGAGAAA